This 494-nucleotide ribosomal RNA is filed under the name uncultured bacterium. RNAcentral's name for it is "partial 16S ribosomal RNA". It matches the Rfam family "Bacterial small subunit ribosomal RNA", at positions 28 to 507 of the family's 1533-position model. The record is from RNAcentral.
GACGAACGCUGGCGGCGCGCUUAACACAUGCAAGUCGAACGGAAAGGCCUGCUUUCCCUUGUGGAUUGCGGGUACUCGAGUGGCGAACGGGUGAGUAACACGUGAGUGAUCUGCCCCCAACUUGGGUAUAAGCCUGGGGAACUGGGUCUAAUUCCCGAUAGGACUGCAGGGUGGUGCCUGUGGUGGAAAACGAUUUUCUAGUGGUUGGGGAUGAGCUCGCGGCCUAUCAGCUUGUUGGUGGGGUAAUGGCCUACCAAGGCGGCGACGGGUAGCCGGCCUGAGAGGGUGGACGGCCACAUUGGGACUGAGAUACGGCCCAGACUCCUACGGGAGGCAGCAGUGGGGAAUAUUGCACAAUGGGCGGAAGCCUGAUGCAGCGACGCCGCGUGGGGGAUGACGGCCUUCGGGUUGUAAACUCCUUUCGACCGCGAGGAAGCCACCUGGUUGGAAGGGUGGUGACGGUAGUGGUAGAAGAAGCACCGGCUAACUACGUG